UAAAGGCUCACCAAGGCGACGAUCCCUAGCUGGUCUGAGAGGAUGAUCAGCCACACUGGAACUGAGACACGGUCCAGACUCCUACGGGAGGCAGCAGUGGGGAAUAUUGCACAAUGGGGGAAACCCUGAUGCAGCCAUGCCGCGUGUAUGAAGAAGGCCUUCGGGUUGUAAAGUACUUUCAGCAGUGAGGAAGGUGGUGAUGUUAAUAGCAUNAUCAUUUGACGUUAGCUGCAGAAGAAGCACCGGCUAACUCCGUGCCAGCAGCCGCGGUAAUACGGAGGGUGCGAGCGUUAAUCGGAAUUACUGGGCGUAAAGCGCAUGCAGGCGGUCUGUUAAGCAAGAUGUGAAAGCCCGGGGCUCAACCUCGGAACAGCAUUUUGAACUGGCAGACUAGAGUCUUGUAGAGGGGGGUAGAUUUUCAGGUGU
Molecule: ribosomal RNA, 426 nt
Filed under: Photobacterium sp. R-15
Lineage: Bacteria; Pseudomonadati; Pseudomonadota; Gammaproteobacteria; Vibrionales; Vibrionaceae
Description: bacterial SSU rRNA
Rfam family: Bacterial small subunit ribosomal RNA
Source: RNAcentral